This 83-nucleotide transfer RNA is filed under the name Rhamnusium bicolor. RNAcentral's name for it is "tRNA-OTHER". The record is from RNAcentral. Lineage: Eukaryota; Metazoa; Arthropoda; Insecta; Coleoptera; Cerambycidae.
GGCUUCGUGGUCGAGUGGUAAGGACACUUGCCUCUCACCUUGGAGUCCCGAGUUCGAUUCCCGGUCGAAGAGGUGGAUUUUCU